AUCUAACUAAUGAGUCUCAAAUAGAACGAAACACACUUCCUGGAU
This 45-nucleotide non-coding RNA is filed under the name Schistosoma haematobium. The record is from RNAcentral. Lineage: Eukaryota; Metazoa; Platyhelminthes; Trematoda; Strigeidida; Schistosomatidae.